UGAGUGGCGGACGGGUGAGUAACGCGUGGGCAACCUGGCCUGGUACACGGGGGAUAACACUUAGAAAUAGGUGCUAAUACCGCAUAACGGGAGAAGCCGCAUGGCGUUUUUCCUGAAAACUCCGGUGGUACAGGAUGGGCCCGCGUCUGAUUAGCCAGUUGGCAGGGUAACGGCCUACCAAAGCGACGAUCAGUAGCCGGCCUGAGAGGGCGGACGGCCACACUGGGACUGAGACACGGCCCAGACUCCUACGGGAGGCAGCAG
RNAcentral lists this ribosomal RNA (264 nucleotides) under uncultured bacterium. RNAcentral describes it as "partial 16S ribosomal RNA". It matches the Rfam family "Bacterial small subunit ribosomal RNA", at positions 92 to 354 of the family's 1533-position model. The record is from RNAcentral.